AUUUUACACUUAAUGUGGUGGGAGAAAAAUGGCUUUACUGGUGCAUGCUUAAGGCAUACAGGUGGGGUGUACUGUGUACUCUUUAUUGGUCAUUGGUUCUUGAUUCAAUGGCAUGACCUUUUAUCUGAUAAAAGGUUUUUGAUAGUAAAAUUUUAACAUGUUAAGUCAAGACAUUCAUUCAAAUGAUAUCUGGGUUAUUGCAUAAAUGCAUUAUUUUUUUCUUAAUUAGUUGAGUAUUUUUAGGGGAAAGAUAUAUUUUCCCAGUGUUACAUAAUUAAGUAUACAUGGGAAGGUAUCUCCCUCUUUCUUGAGGUUUGAUUUAAUCACAUGGGACUCUUCCUAAAACCAUACUAAAUGGAUUAACAUGUGCAUGUGGCCGCUAUAUUCAUGUAAUUUUUUCAGAUCCUUCUCCCAUUUUGCGAGCAUUGCCGCUCAUCAUAUUUGGAGGCUUUGUGGUGUGGACGAUAAAGAAGUCCAUUUACGUGAAUGGAUGAAGGGUUUGUCUAGACUCUAGGGUAACCUUCAUCCUAAUAUCUAUGGAAGAUGUCUUCUACACUUUCUUGAAAGUGCAUAUUUUCAUAUUUGCCCAAUUCAAGAAAGGUCUCAAGCUCUCCCUUUCCUACGAUCAAUAAAAGGAUGGUUUAUGAGCUUUGAUGUAGCAGCUAAAUUGAGGUUCUAAAGUAUCAUCUCGUAAGAAAUCAAAGUUUCGUACUCAUACAUGAAAAGACAAAAUAGACCCCUAGAAAAUCACCACCACCCUCCUUAACAAAGCCCAUGUAUCAUCUAUUCAACAAUAGCAAACUUAUUUUUGUCCAAAAUUGCAAGUGACAUCAUGUCAUUUGUCUUCAGUGAAAAAAUUACUUAUAACAUACUUUAUUUUAAACCUUAAUGGCGAUUUUUUGUUUUUCUAUAUUUGUUAUUUAGUAAAAUUAGAUAACCUUAAAUCAUGAGAUUUAUAAUGUAUUAUCAUUUGUAUGACAUUAAAAACAGGUUGUUUUAGGCCAAAAAAAAAAAAGCACUUUGCUCGUUCAGAUUUCAGACACUCCCCACCUGAACUUAAUCUCAAAAACUAAACCAACAUUGACAUAUUGUCUUUUCAAUUUUUUCAAAGAAGUGAAAAUUAAAAAUCAUUUUUUAUAAGCUGUUUUUUAUUAUUUUUAGAAACAAAUUUUCAUUUCAGGAUUUACAAUAUCGUAAAAUUUAUUUAAAAAAUACUUUAAAUUUAUUUUAAAAAAUUUGAAAUAUAAACUAUUUUCUAUUAUAUGUUUUACUAUUUUCAAAUACCAUAACAUUAUAUAAUAAUAUUUACUAAAAAAAACACAUUCUUCCUUUUUUCAAAUAUUACAAGGGGCGUGACUUGGUGGGCACUGUUCUGGUCCUUCGUAAGUUCGUCCCUCCCACAAAACCUCUAAAAUCAGAAGAGUAAAAAAAGAAAAAACCUUAAUACAACGUCGCUCAAAUUCCUCAAAAUUUACAGCCUCCCUAACAACAUAUUUAUAUUUCUGCAACUCUCUCUCUCUAACGUUCCUCUUCUUCUCUGUCAGCAACGCCUAGCCCUUUCUAGGGUUUCCUAAUUUCUAAAUUUAUUCUUGUUCUUGUGCUUUUUGAUUUUUCUAUUUCAACCACGGCCGUCUUUCUCAUCCCCUUCUCUCCAAUUCUCCACUUUCUAAUUUCCUUCUCUUGAUUUGGCCCUUCCUCCUCCUGGUUUUCCGCUCUCUCUUUCUGUCUAUUUUUUGGGUAGUUUGAGUCGUGGCCUACGGUUGGGUACAUUUCGAGUUCCUUCGUCUCUUUGCAUUGGCUCAAUUUCGGGUGCGGGUGGGUGGCAUGGCGUUUGUGUUUCGGCGGGUUUUAGGGCUCCCGGGUUGGAAACUUGGCUCUCUGGAUCGUUUUGUGGAAAGCUAGGGUUUUCUUUUUUUUGAUUUGGGAGUUUGGUGGUCUAGGAAUCACAGUGUUUUAUUCUUUUUGUUUAACGUUUUUCUUCAAUUGGAGGGUGGCGAGGGGCAUUGUUUUGUCGGAAUGAAUAGCGUUUUUAGUGAACAGAUUCUGGCAGAUAAGCUUUCCAAGCUCAACAGCACCCAACAGUGUAUCGAAACGUUAUCACAUUGGUGUAUUUUUCACCGGAGCAAAGCAGAACUAGUUGUUGCAACAUGGGACAAACAGUUUCACAGUUCAGAAAUGGCUCAGAAAGUUCCCCUUUUGUACCUUGCAAAUGAUAUUCUACAGAACAGUAAACGUAAAGGGAACGAAUUUGUUAGUGAGUUUUGGAAGGUUCUUCCUGCAGCACUUAAGGCCGUUGUCGAGAAAGGCGAUGAUCAUGGAAAGAACGUGGUCUCUCGAUUGGUUCAUAUAUGGGAAGAAAGGAGAGUGUUUGGAUCCCGUGCACAGAGUCUCAAUGAUGUAAUGCUUGGGGAAGAACUGCCUCCACCCUUGGAAUUCAGCAAAAAACGUUCUCGUUCUGUCAAAAUUGUAAGAAGGGAUAUGCGCUCCAUAAGAACGAAAUUAUCUAUUGGAGGGUCAGCAGAAAAAAUAGUGUCUGCAUUUCAUGUGGUGCUUAGUGAUCAAUCCACUGAAGAUGCUGAGAUGAAUAAAUGCAAAUCUGCUGUUCACCAUGUGAGGAAGAUGGAGAGAGAUGUUGAUACUGCAUGUUUAAAUGCAAAGGAUCCCAAGCGAAAAACUUUGGCCAAAGAAUUAGAGGAUGAAGAAGAUGUUCUAAAGCAGUGUAUUGAGAAACUUAAAUUAGUUGAAGCAAAUAGAGAAGCCCUUGUAUCUCAAUUGAAAGAAGCACUGCAUGAACAGGAAUCUGAACUGGAGAAUAUUCGCACUCAGAUGCAGGUAGCACAUGCACAGGCAGAGGAAGCCAGCAACAUGCGGAAGCGGCUCAAUGAUGAAAACUUUACAGUGGCAAAACCAUCCCAUGCAACUUCACCAUUAGAAGCAAAUGCAAAAGUAGGCCAAGCAUCCAAGAGGACAGCUGCAGAUAUAGCAGCUGAGGUUGCAGACAAGCUUACAGCUUCGAGCUCCUCUCAGUUGAUCAUGACUUCUGUUCUCUCAACAUUUGCAGCUGAAGAGGCGAAGAAUGCCGGUCUGACAAAGACCUCUACAGUAUCAAAUUCUUUCACACCCAUGCCCAGCAAUUCAAAACCAGAAAACUCCAUGCCAGUUUCAGAUCCCAAUGUUUUUAUGUCAACCCAGACCCUUACUGCUCCACCAAACCAACCAUAUCAAUCAGUUAUUAUUGCCCCACCAACCAUGCAGAGCCAGACCCCAACUUCUCAAACUCAGUAUCAUAUGCUUCCCAAUCCACCUUCCCAGCAAUAUUUGCAACCAUCAGGAGGGAUUAUGAACCCAUAUGGUUAUGGUAGCAUUCCGCCCUUGCCACCAGGGCCACCUCCACCCCCAUCUACACUACAUAUGGUGAAUCCAAUGGCUCCUUUGCCUCAGCAGCAAUCAAUACCAUUGGUUCAGCAGCCAGCUCUAUUAACUCGUCAUCAACCUAUGCCCUUGACUCAGCAACCCCCAGCACCUCCCAGUUUCCGGCCGCUUCAGCUUCCUGGAAUGGUGUAUUAUGGUCUCCCUCAUCAUUCUCAGUGAAGUUCUUUGAGCCAAUGAAAGAUUCCCAUAGGGUUUUGAAAUUUUUGCUUGUGCAAUUGGCUCUGUUGAGAUGACAAGCAUGAAGAGCUCUGACAAUAAUUAGGCAAAUAUGCAUUUGGACAGCAACAGAUAAUGCAGGUAUAAGGGUAGCAAUUUCGUUUAUUUUCAGUGAAUUUGUAGAGUUUAUGUUCCAUAGAUGAUGAUGGUAAUGUUAAAAGUAUCUCCGGUAGUUUAUGAUUUUUCCUUUCUUCUGGAGAUUUAUACCCUGUAAAAUGAUGGUUUACAGACUGCUGACGGCCCUGUAUUGCAAAUCAAAUCAGAGAAAGGUGACUCGUCAAAGGGACUUGCCUGUUGUGUUCUCCCUUGCAUGAGACACAGUCUUUGGUUGGUUGCAUCCUUCUGGCUUCAACCUUCAGCGGAUUGACAAGAGACUUAAAAAAAGUCCAUUUGGGGAUGAUUUUUAGAGGAUGAAAAGCAUUUUAUAAUGCUUGAAAGCAAUAUAUAUAUUAUUGGAAUUAGGUAUUAAAUAAGUUUUAGAAAAUUAUUUUUAA
This is an RNA transcript of Vitis vinifera (wine grape), 4142 nucleotides long. RefSeq lists it as uncharacterized. NCBI's taxonomy places the organism in Eukaryota, Viridiplantae, Streptophyta, Magnoliopsida, Vitales, Vitaceae. The transcript has 8 exons. The record is from RefSeq and is a predicted model, not a curated record.